UACGGGGGGGGCAAGCGUUGUUCGGAAUUACUGGGCGUAAAGGGCUCGUAGGUGGCCAACUAAGUCAGACGUGAAAUCCCUCGGCUUAACCGAGGAACUGCCCUCCAAACUGCUUGGCUUGAGACCGGGAGAGGUGAGUGGAAUUCCCAGUGUAGCGGUGAAAUGCGUAGAUAUUGGGAGGAACACCAGUGGCGAAGGCGGUUCUCUGGGCAUUACCUGACGCUGAGGAGCGAAAGUGUGGGGAGCGAACAGG
This 253-nucleotide ribosomal RNA is filed under the name uncultured bacterium. RNAcentral describes it as "partial 16S ribosomal RNA". It matches the Rfam family "Bacterial small subunit ribosomal RNA", at positions 524 to 776 of the family's 1533-position model. The record is from RNAcentral.